UGCAUGCUUAUCACGACCAGGUAGCCG
This 27-nucleotide non-coding RNA is filed under the name Mus musculus (house mouse). The record is from RNAcentral. Lineage: Eukaryota; Metazoa; Chordata; Mammalia; Rodentia; Muridae.